GCCCUUAUAGCUCAGUCGUAGAGCGCUCCACUCGUAACUAAUUGAAAUGGAGAGGUCCGCAGUUCAAUCCUGCGUGGGGGCA
Transfer RNA from Aspergillus nidulans FGSC A4, 82 nucleotides. It matches the Rfam family "tRNA". From Rfam's summary of the family: Transfer RNA (tRNA) molecules are approximately 80 nucleotides in length. Their secondary structure includes four short double-helical elements and three loops (D, anti-codon, and T loops). Lineage: Eukaryota; Fungi; Ascomycota; Eurotiomycetes; Eurotiales; Aspergillaceae. The record is from Rfam.